RNAcentral lists this ribosomal RNA (478 nucleotides) under uncultured bacterium. Its description in RNAcentral is "partial 16S ribosomal RNA". It matches the Rfam family "Bacterial small subunit ribosomal RNA", at positions 28 to 523 of the family's 1533-position model. The record is from RNAcentral.
AUUGAACGCUGGCGGCAUGCCUUACACAUGCAAGUCGAACGGUAAGGCCCUUCGGGGUACACGAGUGGCGAACGGGUGAGUAACACGUGGGUGAUCUGCCCUGCACUUCGGGAUAAGCCUGGGAAACUGGGUCUAAUACCGGAUAGGACCCUGGGAUGCAUGUCCUGGGGUGGAAAGCUUUUGCGGUGUGGGAUGGGCCCGCGGCCUAUCAGCUUGUUGGUGGGGGGAUGGCCUACCAAGGCGACGACGGGUAGCCGGCCUGAGAGGGUGACCGGCCACACUGGGACUGGGAUCCGGCACAGACUCCUACGGGAGGCAGCAGUGGGGAAUAUUGCACAAUGGGCGCAAGCCUGAUGCAGCGACGCCGCGUGAGGGAUGACGGCCUUCGGGUUGUAAACCUCUUUCAGCACCGACGAAGCGCAAGUGACGGUAGGUGCAGAAGAAGGACCGGCCAACUACGUGCCAGCCGCCGCGGUAA